UACGGAGGAUCCUAGUGUUAUCCGGAUUUAUUGGGUUUAAAGGGAGCGUAGGCGGGAGGUCAAGUCAGCUGUGAAAUGUAUCUGCUUAACGGGUACACUGCAGUUGAAACUGGUUUUCUUGAGUGCGUAAGAGGCAGGCGGAAUUCGUUGUGUAGCGGUGAAAUGCUUAGAUUUGACGAGGAACUCCUAUUGCGAAGGCAGCUUGCUGGGUCGUUACUGACGCUGAUGCUCGAAGGUGCGGGGAUCAAACAGGAUUAGAUACCCUGGUA
RNAcentral lists this ribosomal RNA (269 nucleotides) under uncultured prokaryote. RNAcentral describes it as "partial 16S ribosomal RNA". It matches the Rfam family "Bacterial small subunit ribosomal RNA", at positions 524 to 792 of the family's 1533-position model. The record is from RNAcentral.